RNAcentral lists this transfer RNA (63 nucleotides) under Dermacentor albipictus. RNAcentral's name for it is "tRNA-Ala". The record is from RNAcentral. Lineage: Eukaryota; Metazoa; Arthropoda; Arachnida; Ixodida; Ixodidae.
AGAAAAGUAUUUAAAAAAAAUAAAAUCUAAAUUGCAAUUAGAAAUUGAAGUAAUUCCUUUUCU